UUCUGGCCUCAAAUCAGGUAGGAUCACCCGCUGAACUUAAGCAUAUCAAUAAGCGGGAGGA
RNAcentral lists this ribosomal RNA (61 nucleotides) under Malassezia slooffiae. RNAcentral's name for it is "partial 28S ribosomal RNA". The record is from RNAcentral. Lineage: Eukaryota; Fungi; Basidiomycota; Malasseziomycetes; Malasseziales; Malasseziaceae.